Molecule: ribosomal RNA, 429 nt
Filed under: uncultured bacterium
Lineage: Bacteria
Description: partial 16S ribosomal RNA
Rfam family: Bacterial small subunit ribosomal RNA
Source: RNAcentral
ACGCUGGCGGCAGGCCUAACACAUGCAAGUCGAACGAACCUUUCGGGGUUAGUGGCGGCCGGGUGAGUAACACGUGGGAACGUGCCUUUAGGUUCGGAAUAACUCAGGGAAACUUGUGCUAAUACCGAAUGUGCCCUUCGGGGGAAAGAUUUAUCGCCUUUAGAGCGGCCCGCGUCUGAUUAGCUAGUUGGUUGAGGUAAUGGCUCACCAAGGCGACGAUCAGAAGCUGGUCUGAGAGGAUGAUCAGCCACAUUGGGACUGAGACACGGCCCAAACUCCUACGGGAGGCAGCAGUGGGGAAUCUUGCGCAAUGGGCGAAAGCCUGACGCAGCCAUGCCGCGUGAAUGAUGAAGGUCUUAGGAUUGUAAAAUUCUUUCACCGGGGACGAUAAUGACGGUACCCGGAGAAGAAGCCCCGGCUAACUUCGUG